GACGAACGCUGGCGGCGUGCUUAACACAUGCAAGUCGAGCGGUAAGGCCCUUUCGGGGGUACACGAGCGGCGAACGGGCGAGUAACACGUGGGUGACCUGCCCUCAGCUCUGGGAUAAGCCUGGGAAACCGGGUCUAAUACCGGAUAUGACUCCAUGACGCAUGUUGUGGGGUGGAAAGCCUUGUGCGGCUGAGGAUGGGCCCGCGGCCUAUCAGCUUGUUGGUGGGGUGAUGGCCUACCAAGGCGACGACGGGUAGCCGGCCUGAGAGGGCGACCGGCCACACUGGGACUGAGACACGGCCCAGACUCCUACGGGAGGCAGCAGUGGGGAAUCUUGCGCAAUGGGCGAAAGCCUGACGCAGCGACGCCGCGU
Molecule: ribosomal RNA, 373 nt
Filed under: uncultured bacterium
Lineage: Bacteria
Description: bacterial SSU rRNA
Rfam family: Bacterial small subunit ribosomal RNA
Source: RNAcentral